RNAcentral lists this long non-coding RNA (728 nucleotides) under Struthio camelus australis. RNAcentral describes it as "lncRNA (ENSSCUG00000010746.1)". Lineage: Eukaryota; Metazoa; Chordata; Aves; Struthioniformes; Struthionidae. The record is from RNAcentral.
UAUUUCUCUUAUAAUGUUUGAUUAAUGAUACACUCUUUGGACAUACAUAAACACAUGAAAAUACCUACAUUUUCUGGUGGUGUGAAUUAUAUUACUUAUAGUACACGGAGGUUUCUCAGAAGCUAGUACUGUACAAGUAACUUAUCCUGAGGAAGUAUUAAAGGAAUUUUUCUCACAUGAAAGUUCUGGGAAUUGCUGUAAGUGUUUAAUAAAGGGUUCCAGAAACCACUGCUACUUCACAUAGAAACUGACUGCCUUUUGCCCUCCGUGCUUUCCACUGGCGAUAGAUUUUCCCUAUUUGCUAAUUGUAUGUUUAUCACAUUAUUUAUUUAAAUUUCUUAUUGUUUUCUGAGAUUGAAAAACUAAAAAAUAAUCUGGAGUUAAAGGAGGAAGAAUGCAAGAGACUUACAGGAGAAAAUGACAAACUUCACGAAGAUUUGAGAAGCAUGACAUUGAAGGUAGUAUCAUAUGAGAAAAUUAUUGCAUGCCCUGAUGAAAGGCUUGAGAGUUCCCAGCUACCACACUCAGAAAAAAGAAGUACACAUCUGGGAGAAUCAUUUAAGAAGUUCAAAAUGAAAACUGGAAACCUAAGGUUUAAGAGGUUCAAAAUCAAAUGAAUGAAAAUGACAUGGAAAACAAACAACGAAAGAAGGAUGCCAUUUACCACUAGCAUGGCAGUAAGUUGCAUAUAUACAGAUGACGAAUAAAAGUUACACAGAACAUGACCA